RNAcentral lists this ribosomal RNA (256 nucleotides) under uncultured bacterium. RNAcentral's name for it is "partial 16S ribosomal RNA". It matches the Rfam family "Bacterial small subunit ribosomal RNA", at positions 521 to 776 of the family's 1533-position model. The record is from RNAcentral.
UAAGACGUAGGGGGCGAGCGUUGUCCGGAAUUACUGGGCGUAAAGAGCACGUAGGCGGGACCUUAAGUCAGGUGUGAAAGACCGGGGCCUAACCCCGGGGUGGCACUUGAAACUGGGGUUCUUGAGGGCAGGAGAGGACAGUAGAAUUCCUGGUGUAGCGGUGAAAUGCGUAGAAAUCAGGAGGAAUACCAGUGGCGAAGGCGACUGUCUGGACUGACCCUGACGCUGAGGUGCGAAAGCGUGGGUAGCAAACAGG